RNAcentral lists this ribosomal RNA (278 nucleotides) under uncultured bacterium. Its description in RNAcentral is "partial 16S ribosomal RNA". It matches the Rfam family "Bacterial small subunit ribosomal RNA", at positions 337 to 607 of the family's 1533-position model. The record is from RNAcentral.
ACCUACGGGGGGCAGCAGUAGGGAAUCUUCCACAAUGGGCGAAAGCCUGAUGGAGCAACGCCGCGUGGGUGAAGAAGGUCUUCUGAUCGUAAAACCCUGUUGUUAGAGAAGAAAGUGCGUGAGAGCAACUGUUCACGUUUCGACGGUAUCUAACCAGAAAGCGACGGCUAACUACGUGCCAGCAGCCGCGGUAAUACGUAGGUGGCAAGCGUUAUCCGGAUUUAUUGGGCGUAAAGGGAACGCAGGCGGGCUUUUAAGUCUGAUGUGAAAGCCUUGUG